GACGAACGCUGGCGGCGUGCUUAACACAUGCCAGUCGAACGGAAAGGCCCUGCUUUUGUGGGGUGCUCGAGUGGCGAACGGGUGAGUAACACGUGAGUAACCUGCCCUUGACUUUGGGAUAACUUCAGGAAACUGGGGCUAAUACCGGAUAGGAGCUCCUGCUGCAUGGUGGGGGUUGGAAAGUUUCGGCGGUUGGGGAUGGACUCGCGGCUUAUCAGCUUGUUGGUGGGGUAGUGGCUUACCAAGGCUUUGACGGGUAGCCGGCCUGAGAGGGUGACCGGCACAAUUGGGAAUGAGAUACGGCCCAGACCCCCACGGGAGGGAGGAGUGGGGAAUAUUGCAAAAGGGGCGGAAGCCUGAUGCAGCAACGCCGGGGGGGGGAUGACGGCCUUGGGGUUGUAAACCGCUUUCGCCGGUGACGAAGCGUGGGUGACGGUAAUGGGUAAAGAAGCACCGGCUAACUACGU
This 467-nucleotide ribosomal RNA is filed under the name uncultured bacterium. RNAcentral's name for it is "partial 16S ribosomal RNA". It matches the Rfam family "Bacterial small subunit ribosomal RNA", at positions 28 to 506 of the family's 1533-position model. The record is from RNAcentral.